CUCUUCGGCACGGGGUGCCUUGUUUGAAUGAUUCAAUUCAGUCAGGGCUGAGAACACACCCGUAUACCUGAUCCAGAUCAUACUGGCGGAGGAAUGCCUGUCGCAGUUUGC
RNAcentral lists this non-coding RNA (111 nucleotides) under Methylobacillus flagellatus. RNAcentral describes it as "TPP sequence". It matches the Rfam family "TPP riboswitch aptamer (THI element)". From Rfam's summary of the family: Vitamin B(1) in its active form thiamin pyrophosphate (TPP) is an essential coenzyme that is synthesised by coupling of pyrimidine and thiazole moieties in bacteria. The previously detected thiamin-regulatory element, thi box was extended, resulting in a new, highly conserved RNA secondary structure, the THI element, which is widely distributed in eubacteria and also occurs in some archaea. Analysis of operon structures identified a large number of new candidate thiamin-regulated genes, mostly transporters, in various prokaryotic organisms. The record is from RNAcentral. RNAcentral also lists the same sequence under 1 other name. Lineage: Bacteria; Pseudomonadati; Pseudomonadota; Betaproteobacteria; Nitrosomonadales; Methylophilaceae.